RNAcentral lists this ribosomal RNA (500 nucleotides) under uncultured bacterium. RNAcentral's name for it is "bacterial SSU rRNA". It matches the Rfam family "Bacterial small subunit ribosomal RNA", at positions 28 to 526 of the family's 1533-position model. The record is from RNAcentral.
GAUGAACGCUGGCGGCGUGCCUAACACAUGCAAGUCGAACGAAGCACUUAGGUGAAAUCCUUCGGGGUGAAGCUUUUGUGACUGAGUGGCGGACGGGUGAGUAACGCGUGGGCAACCUGCCCUAUACCGGGGGACAACAGCUGGAAACGGCUGCUAAUACCGCAUAAGCGCACAGAGUCGCAUGGCUCAGUGUGAACAACUCCGGUGGUAUAGGAUGGACCGCGUCCGAUUAGCUAGUUGGUAGUGUAAUGGACUACCAAGGCGACGAUCGGUAGCCGGCCUGAGAGGGCGGACGGCCACAUUGGGACCGAGACACGGCCCAGACUCCUGCGGGAGGCAGCAGUGGGGGAUAUUGCGCAAUGGGGGAAACCCUGACGCAGCAACGCCGCGUGAUUGAAGAAGGCCUUCGGGUUGUAAAGAUCUUUAAUCAGGGACGAAGGAAGUGACGGUACCUGAAGAAUAAGCUCCGGCUAACUACGUGCCAGCCGCCGCUGUAAAAC